UACAUGGGGUGCAAACGUUGCUCGGAAUUAUUGGGCGUAAAGCGCACGUAGGCGGUUCGUUAAGUCGGAUGUGAAAGCCCUCGGCUCAACUGAGGAAGUGCACCCGAAACUGGCGAGCUUGAGUACGAAAGAGGAUCGCGGAAUUCCCGGUGUAGAGGUGAAAUUCGUAGAUAUCGGGAGGAACACCGGCGGCGAAGGCGGCCCCCUGGGCUAGCACUGACGCUCAGGCACGAAAGCGUGGGGAGCAAACAGG
This 253-nucleotide ribosomal RNA is filed under the name uncultured bacterium. RNAcentral describes it as "partial 16S ribosomal RNA". It matches the Rfam family "Bacterial small subunit ribosomal RNA", at positions 524 to 776 of the family's 1533-position model. The record is from RNAcentral.